GGAAGCGUGGCCGAGUGGUUGAAGGCGCACGACUCGAAAUCGUGUGGGGCGCAAGCUCUCGGGGGUUCGAAUCCCUUCGCUUCCGCCA
This 88-nucleotide transfer RNA is filed under the name Candidatus Saccharimonadota bacterium. Its description in RNAcentral is "tRNA-Ser". It matches the Rfam family "tRNA". Rfam says of the family: Transfer RNA (tRNA) molecules are approximately 80 nucleotides in length. Lineage: Bacteria; Candidatus Saccharimonadota. The record is from RNAcentral. RNAcentral also lists the same sequence under 1 other name.